This is a long non-coding RNA of Dromaius novaehollandiae (emu), 718 nucleotides long. RefSeq lists it as uncharacterized. The record is from RefSeq and is a predicted model, not a curated record. The transcript has 2 exons. Lineage: Eukaryota; Metazoa; Chordata; Aves; Casuariiformes; Dromaiidae.
GCGUGGGGCGUGCCCAGACAACACCGCUUCUUUUCUGUUCAAAGAUCCACACGAUACAAAUGAAGUCCCAAACUUUUCAAGUUGCUUUUGUUCACGGGAGCAGCAACAGGGAAGCUUCUUGCAGCAGAAGUGACUUAAGAAAGACCAGCCUUCUGUACGGGUUUUAUCAAAUGCAGCAAUUAUUCCACUCCCUCCGAUCACAAGGCAUCGAUGGCUCCUCCAUGGCAGUGGCCAAAGUUGCUUCAGUCUCUGGUUUCAGGUGCCUCGGGUGGAGGUGCACCGCAAACGUUUGCGUGCGGGUCCUGGGAGGGGGCGGUCACCGGGCCGGCUGCGGACAUCUGUGGAGAAGAUGGCAGCGAGCGCCAGGACUGCAGGGCGCCCGGGCGAAGGCCAGCUCGCGGCGGAGGUCAGCCCGCGCGCACGGCCCCGGCAGCGAGGCAGCGCCGCUGCGAACGGCUCGGCUCGCCCACGAGAAGGCCGGCUUCGGUCUGGCAACAGCGAUGCUCUGGGUGCUUUUGUCCAACGCACAGAACGGGAAACGCUCAGUGCCCAGGACUGCUCUAGACGGUUGAAGUGUUUGAAUUAAAUACCUUCUUCCACCCAUAAGCUUCCGGUCCUGUAAAACAUUUUGUUUACAAUACUUUAAAAUUCACUUUUGCUACAUCGAAUUUAUAACAAAAAAUGGGUGUUUGCCAAAGAUAAAAUUAUUUUUUCUCCA